Molecule: non-coding RNA, 150 nt
Organism: Pseudomonas entomophila
Lineage: Bacteria; Pseudomonadati; Pseudomonadota; Gammaproteobacteria; Pseudomonadales; Pseudomonadaceae
Source: Rfam
UUGACUACGUAAUGAGAAUCGUUAUGAUUAUCACAGCUGGUCGCGAGACUGGUUGGGUAACCUGAAAGCUCCCUGGUUCGGACUCUCAGAUUAUCUCCUCAUCAGGCUAAUCACGGUUAUUGACCCGGCAACUUGCCGGGUCUUUUUUUG